UCUUAUAGUUCCCUUGUUGUCAAACAAGAUUACCAUUUUGCAUCGCCUAAGCUCAGAUGGCCCUCUCCUUUCUCCACCUACUUGGCCUUUACCUGAUCGUCCAACAGUUUUCUGUAGCUGCAGCUCAAACUGCAAAUAUUAGCUUGGGAUGGUCCCUUAUUGCAUCAGACGAGUCUGUGUCGCGGCAAUCGCCCUCCGGGGAGUUUGCGUUUGGAUUUCGCCGCCUUGGUGAUCAGGACCUCUUCUUGCUUGCCAUUUGGUAUAACAAGAUUCCAGAAAAGACCAUUGUUUGGUAUGCAAAUGGAGACAAUCCAGCACCAAAAGGAUCCAUAGUGGAGCUCACAAAGGAUGGUGAGUUCAAGCUCACCGGCCCUAAGAAAGAAGAAAUCUGGCCCCCGUCGGUUAUCAGUGGAGUCGCUUAUGCUGCCAUGCUCGACUCAGGUAACUUUGUUCUUGCUGAUCAGAAGUCGGCUCCUUUGUGGCAGAGCUUCAAAGACCUCAGAGACACCAUUUUACCAACACAAGUGUUGGAAAUAGGUGACAAGCUCACCUCUAGGCAGAGUCCAAGUAGAUACGCAAGGGGCAAGUUUCAACUCCAGUUUAGACCAGCCGGUACGCUUGAGCUGUAUACCAUAGCCUUGCCUACGGACUACGCAUAUCCACAAUACUUCAUCAGCGAAACAUCUGAAGUACAUCAUGGAAACAACACUGGUCAUCAUCUAGCCUUCAAUGAGUCGGGUCGAAUCGGUGUUGUUUUGAAGAAUGGAAAUGUAGUAACCUUCUCAGACAAUCUGACAUCCCCAUCAAGAGAUUACUACUUCAGAGCAACACUAGACUGGGAUGGCCUUUUUACUCAAUAUGCUCAUCCAAAAAAUGGGAGUUGGGGAUCCUGGUCAACUUUGUGGUCUAUCCCAAGCAACAUUUGCUUCUCGUCGAUUGCUCGCGAUUUGGGCGGGGGGCCAUGCGGAUAUAACACUUACUGCAGACUUGACCUCAACACAAGGCCAAUUUGUGAAUGCAUUCCCGGCUUUUCUGCUAUAGAUCCCAAUAAUAAGAUGUGGGGCUGCAGACAAGAUAGAGCGCAGAGUUGUGAACUAGAUGACUCAAAGCUACAAGAUGUGUAUGUGAUCCGUGAGGUUGCAAAUACGUUCUGGCCUGAUUCUGCAAACUAUGACGUAUUGCAGCCAUUUGGUGAAGAUGAGUGUCGCAGGUCAUGCCUCGAGGACUGUAACUGUGUUGUGGCUGUUAUAUUCGACGGCAACUGCAUUAAAAAGAAGCUGCCACUCUCGAAUGGAAGGCAAGACUGGAGUAAGUACGGCAAGGCGCUCAUCAAGUUACCAAAAACUGAUGCUUUGUCUGAAAAUCCUGCAUCUCAAGGAUCAAAUACAGAUAAGAAAGAUCAGAAAACUCUUGUCUUAGUAGUAGCACUCCUUCUAGGUAGCUCUGUGUUUCUCAACUUUCUAUUUGUCGCAGCAAUUGCUUUGCUUCUUUUCUAUGCAUACCGCAAGGCACAUAGGGUUACUCCUGGAACAUCCAGUAUUAUGGAAGCAAAUCUACGAGCUUUCACUUACAAAGAGCUCGAGGAUGCCACUGAUGGUUUCAGAGAAGAACUUGGAAGAGGGGCUUUUGGUACUGUGUAUAAGGGAGUCAUAUCCUAUCUGAACUCAACAAACUAUGUGGCAAUCAAGAAGUUGGACAAGAUGGCACAAGAAGGUGACAAGGAAAAGGAAUUCAAAACAGAAGCGGGGGCAAUAGCCAGGACGCAUCACAAAAACCUCGUCAGAUUGCUUGGCUUCUGUGAUGAAGGGGCAAAUAAACUCUUGGUCUAUGAGUUUAUGAGCAAUGGAACACUGGCUAGCUUUCUGUUUGGGAUAUCAAGGCCUGAUUGGAACAAGAGAAUCCAAAUUGCGUUUGGUAUUGCUAGAGGACUAAUGUACUUACACGACGAGUGUAGCACUCAGAUCAUCCACUGUGAUAUCAAACCCCCCAACAUACUUCUCGACGAUUCAUUUACAGCAAGGAUUUCGGACUUCGGCUUGGCCAAGCUUCUGCUGAGUGAUCAAACACUGACUCAUACAGUCAUCAGAGGGACCAAAGGGUAUGUUGCACCAGAAUGGUUCAGAAAUACUCCAGUUACUGCAAAGGUCGAUGUUUACAGUUAUGGGGUGAUGCUGUUGGAGAUUAUCUGUUGCAGGAGGGGCUUUGAAAUGGAAAGGGAAAAUGAAGAAGAAGUGAUACUUACGGACUGGGUUUACGAUUGCUACAAGCAAAGGAGAUUAAACGAGUUGAUGGAGGACGAUGAGGAGGCCAGAAAUGACAUGAAAAGGCUGGAGAGGCUGGUAAUGGUGGCAAUUUGGUGCAUACAAGAGGAUCCAUCUUUGAGACCCACCAUGAAGAAGGUUACACAAAUGCUUGAAGGAGUGGUUGAUGUGUCCGUACCUCCAAGUCCCUCUCCUUUUAGUUCAAGAUGCUGAAAUUUACCGUAUUUCGUAGUUGUUUCUUCACCGCAAUGUAUUAAGUUUACCGACGGGAAAAAUUUAGGUCCAAACUAUUUGUUUUACGCGCGCAUCCAGGAACUGAUGACGAUCUUCCUCCAUCACAUCAAAAUAGAAUUCCUAGAGGGGGUCGUGUUGCAGGGAAUGGAAGAUCUGCUGUCGGUUCAGUUCCGUAUUCUAGGAUGUAUGGUGAAACUAGCAUGGAAGCAC
This is an RNA transcript of Argentina anserina (silverweed cinquefoil), 2705 nucleotides long. It is a transcript of the gene named protein EMSY-LIKE 3, with no coding region annotated. The record is from RefSeq and is a predicted model, not a curated record. NCBI's taxonomy places the organism in Eukaryota, Viridiplantae, Streptophyta, Magnoliopsida, Rosales, Rosaceae. The transcript has 2 exons.